This 400-nucleotide ribosomal RNA is filed under the name phytoplankton environmental sample. Its description in RNAcentral is "partial small subunit ribosomal RNA". It matches the Rfam family "Eukaryotic small subunit ribosomal RNA", at positions 587 to 990 of the family's 1831-position model. The record is from RNAcentral.
AGCUCCACGAGUGUAUUUGUACGUUGUUGUGGUUAAAAAGCUCGUAGUCGGAUUUCAAGCAGGUUUGUGCUUGCGCACGUCGAAAUGACGAGCCUUCACUGCCUGUUUUACCUGUGCAUAUUGGGCCGGCGCAAUUAACUUUGUGCCGCGUUCGAAUGUACACGUUCACUUUGAAUAACUCAUAAAGCUCAAAUUAGCCUAUUGGUUGAUUGCUUUUGCAUGGCACGAUGUAACAAGACUUGUUUUUGUUUCGUUGGUUUGAUAAAAACGAGUAAUGAUAAAUAGGAGCGGUUGGGGAAUUCAGUAUUUAGGGUGAAGCGGUGAAAUGCUGGGAUCCCCUAAAGACUAACUAAUGCGAAGGCUUUAUUCAAAGACGCCUCCAUUGAUCAAGAACGAAAGU